This 468-nucleotide ribosomal RNA is filed under the name uncultured bacterium. RNAcentral describes it as "partial 16S ribosomal RNA". It matches the Rfam family "Bacterial small subunit ribosomal RNA", at positions 28 to 507 of the family's 1533-position model. The record is from RNAcentral.
GACGAACGCUGGCGGCGUGCUUAACACAUGCAAGUCGAACGGAAAGGCCCUGCUUUUGUGGGGUGCUCGAGUGGCGAACGGGUGAGUAACACGUGAGUAAUCUGCCCUUGACUUUGGGAUAACUUCAGGAAACUGGGGCUAAUACCGGAUAGGAUCUCCUGCUGCAUGGUGGGGGUUGGAAAGUUUCGGCGGUUGGGGAUGGACUCGCGGCUUAUCAGCUUGUUGGUGGGGUAGUGACUUACCAAGGCUUUGACGGGUAGCCGGCCUGAGAGGGUGACCGGCCACAUUGGGACUGGGAUACGGCCCAGCCUCCUACGGGAGGCAGCAGUGGGGAAUAUUGCACAAUGGUCGGAAGCCUGAUGAAGCAACGCCGCGUGAGGGAUGACGGCCUUCGGGUUGUAAACCGCUUUCGCCUGUGACGAAGCGUGAGUGACGGUAAUGGGUAAAGAAGCACCGGCUAACUACGUG